CUUUGACUCUUCUUAUCUUCCCCACAUGUGACUUCAAUAGUAAAUACUUUCCCUAAGUGACUGUGGUUUCCUCAUCUGUAAAAUAGUGAGAUCUACUUUGCCCAUAGAAUAUCUAGCACAGUGUCCAGCUGAAAACUGUUACUAAUUACAUUCCACCUCAGCCUGCUGUUAAACUAAGGUUACUUCAAACACACUAACUUACAUUUCUAUGGCUCUCACUUGCAUCUACCAUUUCAGGACUGAAGCUCAGCAGAGCCCACUGGGAUGAUUCUUGGAGUCCCCAGGAGGUAUCUACAUGUGUUCUCACACAAGGCUGGCCAGCCUCCAUAUCCCCUAUGGUGUUUGAUAUGCUCUGCCAAGCCUGAGAUACCAUUAAUCCAGUUUGGGAACUUAACCUGACUAUUGUGUCUAGAAGUGGAAGCUGAUUUGGAUUAGAUAAAGUCAUCAUGGUGGAGCCUCACGAUUGAAUACUGGUGGCUUUACAAGAAAAGAGAGACCAUAGAGUCUAGACCCAAGUGCAUGGUCCUUGUUUAUAUCAUUUGAUUUGGGACUCUGCCAGGAAAAAGGCCAUUACGUGAUGUACAUCCUUGAACCUCCAGAACUGUGGAAAUGUCCUUGAAUUCUGAGACCACGG
Molecule: long non-coding RNA, 634 nt
Filed under: Heterocephalus glaber (naked mole-rat)
Lineage: Eukaryota; Metazoa; Chordata; Mammalia; Rodentia; Bathyergidae
Description: lncRNA (ENSHGLG00100038495.1)
Source: RNAcentral